AUUGAACGCUGGCGGAAUGCUUUACACAUGCAAGUCGAACGGUAGAGGGGGCAACCCCUUGAGAGUGGCGAACGGGUGAGUAAUAUAUCGGAACGUGCCCAGUCGUGGGGGAUAACGUAGUGAAAAUUACGCUAAUACCGCAUACGAUCUAAGGAUGAAAGCGGGGGAUCGCAAGACCUCGCGCGACUGGAGCGGCCGAUAUCAGAUUAGGUAGUUGGUAGGGUAAAGGCCUACCAAGCCAACGAUCUGUAGCUGGUCUGAGAGGACGACCAGCCACACUGGAACUGAGACACGGUCCAGACUCCUACGGGAGGCAGCAGUGGGGAAUUUUGGACAAUGGGCGAAAGCCUGAUCCAGCCAUUCCGCGUGCAGGAUGAAGGCCCUCGGGUUGUAAACUGCUUUUGUACAGAACGAAAAGGUUUCUAUUAAUACUAGGAGCUCAUGACGGUACUGUAAGAAUAAGCACCGGCUAACUACGUGCCAGCAGCCGCGGUAAUACGUAGGGUGCAAGCGUUAAUCGGAAUUACUGGGCGUAAAGCGUGCGCAGGCGGUUAUAUAAGUCAGAUGUGAAAUCCCCGGGCUCAACCUGGGAACUGCAUUUGAGACUGUAUAGCUAGAGUACGGUAGAGGGGGAUGGAAUUCCGCGUGUAGCAGUGAAAUGCGUAGAUAUGCGGAGGAACACCGAUGGCGAAGGCAAUCCCCUGGACCUGUAC
RNAcentral lists this ribosomal RNA (713 nucleotides) under uncultured bacterium. Its description in RNAcentral is "bacterial SSU rRNA". It matches the Rfam family "Bacterial small subunit ribosomal RNA", at positions 28 to 740 of the family's 1533-position model. The record is from RNAcentral.